AAGUUCUCGUUUGGUG
This 16-nucleotide ribosomal RNA is filed under the name [Verticillium] tenerum. Its description in RNAcentral is "Verticillium tenerum partial 18S ribosomal RNA". Lineage: Eukaryota; Fungi; Ascomycota; Sordariomycetes; Hypocreales. The record is from RNAcentral.